AUACUCAUCGUGGUGACCGUCCUACAUUGACCUGUGUAGACACUCGCUCUCCAGGCAGAUAUUUCUUCUCAAGAACUGGUCUGUCCUGGGAGAGAGGAAGCUGUGUGCCUUGGGUGUGUUGGUCUCACCCCCACCAAAUUCUCGGUGUUGGUUUGAAAAAACCUCACCUUGAACUGAAAUAAAUCUCUCUUGGUUUGGGUUUUCUUUAAACCUCACCUUGCCAGAAAUCUUUUCUUGAAAUACGAGAA
Long non-coding RNA from Osmerus eperlanus (European smelt), 248 nucleotides. RefSeq lists it as uncharacterized. The transcript has 3 exons. The record is from RefSeq and is a predicted model, not a curated record. NCBI's taxonomy places the organism in Eukaryota, Metazoa, Chordata, Actinopteri, Osmeriformes, Osmeridae.